This 467-nucleotide ribosomal RNA is filed under the name uncultured bacterium. RNAcentral's name for it is "partial 16S ribosomal RNA". It matches the Rfam family "Bacterial small subunit ribosomal RNA", at positions 28 to 506 of the family's 1533-position model. The record is from RNAcentral.
GACGAACGCUGGCGGCGUGCUUAACACAUGCAAGUCGAACGGAAAGGCCCUGCUUUUGUGGGGUGCUCGAGUGGCGAACGGGUGAGUAACACGUGAGUAACCUGCCCUUGACUUUAGGAUAACUUCAGGAAACUGGGGCUAAUACCGGAUAGGAGCUCCUGCUGCAUGGUGGGGGUUGGAAAGUUUCGGCGGUUGGGGAUGGACUCGCGGCUUAUCAGCUUGUUGGUGGGGUAGUGGCUUACCAAGGCUUUGACGGGUAGCCGGCCUGAGAGGGUGACCGGCCACAGUGGGACUGAGAUACGGCCCAGACUCCUACGGGAGGCAGCAGUGGGGAAUAGUGCACAAUGGGCGGAAGCCUGAUGCAGCAACGCCGCGUGCGGGAUGACGGCCUUCGGGUUGUAAACCGCUUUCGCCUGUGACGAAGCGUGAGGGACGGUAAUGGGUAAAGAAGCACCGGCUAACUACGU